UAUGGUUACAAUAGAGAAAGAGAUACACCUGUUCCCAUCCCGAACACAGAAGUUAAGCCUUUCAUCGCUGAUGAUACUUGGGGUGCAGACCCCCGGGAAAGUAAGUCGUAGCCAAUU
Molecule: ribosomal RNA, 117 nt
Organism: Filifactor alocis ATCC 35896
Lineage: Bacteria; Bacillati; Bacillota; Clostridia; Peptostreptococcales; Filifactoraceae
Source: Rfam